AACAUCUUUUCUUGUUAGUCUCUGAAGUAUGGCCUGCCCGCUGACGUUUAUUUAGUUGAAGGGCCGCGGUAUUUUGACCGUGCAAAGGUAGCAUAGUCAUUAGUUCUUUAAUUGUGAUCUGGUAUGAAUGGCUUGACGAGACAUGGGCUGUCUUGGAUUAGUGGAAUUUAUUGUUGAAUUUGGACUUUAGGUUAAAAUUCUUAGAUGUUUUUAUGGGACGAGAAGACCCUAUAGAGUUUGACAUUUGGUUGUGUAUUUCUUAUUGUUUGUUUUAAAUUUUUUCGUAUCUUUUGUUUUGUUGGGGUGAUGGGAGGAAUUUAUUUAACUCCUCUUUUAUAUGGUAUAUUGAUUUGUAUUAGUUUUGAUCCAUUUAUUUUGAUUGUAAGAUUAAAUUACCUUAGGGAUAACAGCGUUAUCUUCCUUGAGAGUUCUUAUUGGCGGGGGGGGUUGCGACCUCGAUGUUGGAUUAAGAUUAAUUUUUGGUGUAGGAGCUGAAUUGAUUGGGUCUGUUCGACCUUUAAAAUCUU
Molecule: ribosomal RNA, 527 nt
Filed under: Odontotermes sp. 3 SC-2011
Lineage: Eukaryota; Metazoa; Arthropoda; Insecta; Blattodea; Termitidae
Description: partial 16S ribosomal RNA
Rfam family: Bacterial large subunit ribosomal RNA
Source: RNAcentral